RNAcentral lists this ribosomal RNA (449 nucleotides) under uncultured bacterium. RNAcentral describes it as "partial 16S ribosomal RNA". It matches the Rfam family "Bacterial small subunit ribosomal RNA", at positions 29 to 523 of the family's 1533-position model. The record is from RNAcentral.
AGCGAACGCUGGCGGCAGGCUUAACACAUGCAAGUCGAGCGGGUCCUUCAGGGUCAGCGGCGGACGGGUGAGUAACGCGUGGGAACGUGCCUUCUGGUUCGGAAUAACCCUGGGAAACUAGGGCUAAUACCGGAUACGCCCUUUUGGGGAAAGGUUUACUGCCGGAAGAUCGGCCCGCGUCUGAUUAGCUAGUUGGUGGGGUAACGGCCUACCAAGGCGACGAUCAGUAGCUGGUCUGAGAGGAUGAUCAGCCACACUGGGACUGAGACACAGCCCAGACUCCUACGGGAGGCAGCAGUGGGGAAUAUUGGACAAUGGGCGCAAACCUGAUCCAGCCAUGCCGCGUGAGUGAUGAAGGCCUUAGGGUUGUAAAGCUCUUUUAUCCGGGACGAUAAUGACGGUACCGGAGGAAUAAGCCCCGGCUAACUUCGUGCCAGCCGCCGCCGUAA